AAAACAUUCAAUAAGUAAAAAUUAACUAAUCAAAUAAUAAAAACGAUAUAUACAUCAAAACGUUUUCCUUAGAAUGGUGUAGCUCCGAGUAAAUCUAUCAAAACUGUCACACAACUAGAACAGCGAAAAUGUCUAAAAAAAAACAUCGAAAAACCAAUCGUUGCUACCAGAAUUUUCACAUGUAACUUUUCUGAUAUAAAGUCUUACCCGUUUUAAAGUUAAAAAGACACUGUUCCAG
RNAcentral lists this long non-coding RNA (238 nucleotides) under Mytilus galloprovincialis (Mediterranean mussel). Lineage: Eukaryota; Metazoa; Mollusca; Bivalvia; Mytilida; Mytilidae. The record is from RNAcentral.